Molecule: unclassified non-coding RNA, 386 nt
Filed under: uncultured Actinomycetes bacterium
Lineage: Bacteria; Bacillati; Actinomycetota; Actinomycetes
Description: uncultured actinobacterium contains 16S-23S intergenic spacer region
Source: RNAcentral
UCCGAGUUGACCCCGGCAGUCUCCCGUGAGUCCCCAGCACCAAACGGCCUGCUGGCAACACGGGACAAGGGUUGCGCUCGUUGCGGGACUUAACCCAACAUCUCACGGCACGAGCUGACGACAGCCAUGCAGCACCUUGCUACCGGUCCCCGAAGGGAAAGCCCCCUUUCACCCGCUUUAACUAGCAUGUCAAACCCAGGUAAGGUUCUUCGCGUUGCAUCGAAUUAAUCCGCAUGCUCCGCCGCUUGUGCGGGCCCCCGUCAAUUCCUUUGAGUUUUAGUCUUGCGACCGUACUCCCCAGGCGGGGCACUUAGUGCGUUAGCUACGGCACGGAACCCGUUGAUAAGGCCCCACACCUAGUGCCCAACGUUUACGGCGUGGACUAC